UGCAGUCGCACGCUUCUUUUUCCACCGGAGCUUGCUCCACCGGAAAAAGAGGAGUGGCGAACGGGUGAGUAACACGUGGGUAACCUGCCCAUCAGAAGGGGAUAACACUUGGAAACAGGUGCUAAUACCGUAUAACAAUCAAAACCGCAUGGUUUUGAUUUGAAAGGCGCUUUCGGGUGUCGCUGAUGGAUGGACCCGCGGUGCAUUAGCUAGUUGGUGAGGUAACGGCUCACCAAGGCCACGAUGCAUAGCCGACCUGAGAGGGUGAUCGGCCACAUUGGGACUGAGACACGGCCCAAACUCCUACGGGAGGCAGCAGUAGGGAAUCUUCGGCAAUGGACGAAAGUCUGACCGAGCAACGCCGCGUGAGUGAAGAAGGUUUUCGGAUCGUAAAACUCUGUUGUUAGAGAAGAACAAGGAUGAGAGUAACUGUUCAUCCCUUGACGGUAUCUAACCAGAAAGCCACGGCUAACUACGUGCCAGCAGCCGCGGUAAUACGUAGGUGGCAAGCGUUGUCCGGAUUUAUUGGGCGUAAAGCGAGCGCAGGCGGUUUCUUAAGUCUGAUGUGAAAGCCCCCGGCUCAACCGGGGAGGGUCAUUGGAAACUGGGAGACUUGAGUGCAGAAGAGGAGAGUGGAAUUCCAUGUGUAGCGGUGAAAUGCGUAGAUAUAUGGAGGAACACCAGUGGCGAAGGCGGCUCUCUGGUCUGUAACUGACGCUGAGGCUCGAAAGCGUGGGGAGCAAACAGGAUUAGAUACCCUGGUAGUCCACGCCGUAAACGAUGAGUGCUAAGUGUUGGAGGGUUUCCGCCCUUCAGUGCUGCAGCUAACGCAUUAAGCACUCCGCCUGGGGAGUACGACCGCAAGGUUGAAACUCAAAGGAAUUGACGGGGGCCCGCACAAGCGGUGGAGCAUGUGGUUU
Molecule: ribosomal RNA, 920 nt
Filed under: Enterococcus faecium
Lineage: Bacteria; Bacillati; Bacillota; Bacilli; Lactobacillales; Enterococcaceae
Description: bacterial SSU rRNA
Rfam family: Bacterial small subunit ribosomal RNA
Source: RNAcentral